AUCCCCGUAGCACAAUGUAUAGCGUGUUGGACUUCUAAUCCAAAGGUCCUGGAUUCAAAUUCCACCUGGGAUA
Trichonephila clavata is the source of this 73-nucleotide non-coding RNA. Lineage: Eukaryota; Metazoa; Arthropoda; Arachnida; Araneae; Nephilidae. The record is from the annotation of a GenBank genome assembly.